GCUGGUGUACUGCUGGGGGCGGUGGUGGCGGUGGGUGGACGAGCGGACGCAGGCGUACCAGAGCUUCGAGAUCCCGCGGUAUAGCGAGAGCGGGCAGGAGAACCCGCUGUACCGCCGCGCCGCCGCCUAUGUCGCGGCCCUCCCCUCCCUCGAGGACGCCGCUGCCGCCACCCUCUUCUCCUCCGGCCGCAAGCCCAACGACUUCUUCCUCCUCCUCGGCCCCGGCCAGUCCGCCGCUGAUUCCUUCCUCGGCGACCGCGUCUCGUGGACCAACGCCCCCGCCGGUGGAGCCGGCGGCCCCCGCCUCGUCCUCCGCCUCCGCCGCCAGGACCGCACCCGCGUCCUUCGUCCCUACCUCCAGCACGUUGAGUCCGUCGCAGACGACCUCGAGCUCCGGCGUAAGGAGGUCAGGCUGUUCACCAGCUACGCGGGCGUCGGCGAUGGCGGGGGACCGCGGUGGCGGUCGGCGCCGUUCACCCACCCGGCGACGCUCGACACGGUCGCGAUGGACCUGGACCUCAAGGCGCGGGUCCGCGCCGACCUUGAGUCGUUCCUCAAGGGCCGCGCCUACUACCACCGGGUCGGUCGCGUCUGGCGGCGGAGCUACCUCCUCUACGGGCCCCCCGGUACCGGCAAGUCCACUUUCGUCGCCGCGAUGGCCAAGUUCCUCUGCUACGAUAUCUACGACGUCGACCUCUCCCGCGUCUCCGCGGGCGGGGACGGCGUCGGCGCCGACCUGAAGGCCCUCCUCCUCAGCACCACCCCCAGGUCGGUGAUCCUGGUCGAGGACCUCGACCGGCACCUCAAGGGCAAAGGCGUCGGUGAGGAGGGCGAGUCGCAGCUCACCCGGAUCCUAAACUUCAUGGACGGAAUUUUCUCGUGCUGCGGCGAGGAGCGGGUGAUGGUGUUCACGAUGACCUCCGACGGCGGCGGAAUGGAGGGGGUUGAGCCGGCGGUGCUGCGGCCGGGGCGGCUCGACGUGCACAUCCACUUCCCCCUCUGCGACUUCACCGCCUUCAAGACCCUCGCGAGCAGCUACCUCGGCCUCAAGGACCAUAAGCUGUACCCGCAGGUGGAGGAGGUGUUCCAGGGCGGCGCCAGGAUCAGCCCGGCGGAGGUGGGCGAGAUCAUGAUCGCCAACCGUGCCUCUCCGAGCCGGGCGCUGAAGUCGGUUAUCAGCGCGUUGCACCAGUCGUCAUCGGCCGCGGGGCGGAGGCUGAGCGAGAGCGGCUCGGGGCGGCGGUGGGACGACGCAGCGGCUGGCAGCGACUGCGGCAACGGCGGCGGCAGCGGCAACGGCGGGCUGGGGUUCGGGAAGGAGUCAAUCAAGGAGUUCAAGAAGCUGUACGGGUUGAUAAAGAUGAGGAGCGGGAGCAAGAAGGAAGGCGUGAUGCCGGUGGAGGUGGCGGCCGCCGCGGCCGCCGCAGGCGCUCCGUUGGACAAGCUAGACAAAGAUAACUCCUCCCAC
RNAcentral lists this long non-coding RNA (1468 nucleotides) under Musa acuminata (dwarf banana). RNAcentral's name for it is "long non-coding RNA (MACU_LNC006382)". Lineage: Eukaryota; Viridiplantae; Streptophyta; Magnoliopsida; Zingiberales; Musaceae. The record is from RNAcentral.